Long non-coding RNA from Daucus carota subsp. sativus, 714 nucleotides. RefSeq lists it as uncharacterized. NCBI's taxonomy places the organism in Eukaryota, Viridiplantae, Streptophyta, Magnoliopsida, Apiales, Apiaceae. The transcript has 3 exons. The record is from RefSeq and is a predicted model, not a curated record.
GUUAACAAAUAACAACCAAAUUAAAAUGUUUAACAGAUGAAUAGCAGUUGGUUCACGGAGGAAGACAUGAACAACUUUUUCAACAAUCUUUCAUCAGAGAAAUUGUAUACUGACCAAAUGCAAGCUUCAGAAGACAUAAUUGUGGUCAAGGAAAAGAGCACAAAUCUUUCAAGUAAUAUGGAAGACGAUGGCCAAAUUCUCGAUAAUGAGAUUGCUGCGGAAGAAAUUGAAAAACUAUCUAAAAACGAAGAAGAGCCUGAGAUGGUGGUACUGUGUGAACCUAUUCGUUCAUUAGUUUUAUACACUCCAUAGAGCUCACAGGAGCAGCAAGAACCCAACCAACAGACACCGCCUGCAUCUGAAACAAUUUCCACACAUGAAAAAGAUGGCAAGGAAAAGCUGGCUGCUGCACCUUCUGUGAGGAAAUCUCCAAGGCUACAACCUAUAAAAGAAGAUGAAGAAGAUAUCUGUAUUCAUAUUGUCGACCCUGAGGGAGGAGCAAAUGCAGAGAAGGGACCAGCAGAAAAACCACAAAGAAAAGUAAGGGCAACAAAGAAUGAAGGUGUCAAUAAAAGAAAAGCCGUAUAAGAGGUACAUAGUUACACUAUAACAGUACUUGUUCAUUGCUCAUUCCAUUUUACAACAGUAGACAUACAAAAUAUACAUGAUUUCCAUUGUAUAGUACAGUUACACAUUUGUAAAAACAUUUAAAUG